GACGAACGCUGGCGGCGUGCUUAACACAUGCAAGUCGAACGGAAAGGCCCUGCUUUUGUGGGGUGCUCGAGUGGCGAACGGGUGAGUAACACGUGAGUAACCUGCCCUUGACUUUGGGAUAACUUCAGGAAACUGGGGCUAAUACCGGAUAGGAGCUCCUGCUGCAUGGUGGGGGUUGGAAAGUUUCGGCGGUUGGGGAUGGACUCGCGGCUUAUCAGCUUGUUGGUGGGGUAGUGGCUUACCAAGGCUUUGACGGGUAGCCGGCCUGAGAGGGUGACCGGCCACACUGGGACUGAGGUACGGCACAGACUCCUACGGGAGGCAGCAGUGGGGAAUAUUGCACAAUCGGCGGAAGCCUGAUGAAGCAGCGCCGCGUGCGGGAUGACGGCCUUCGUGUUGUAAACCGCUUUCGCCUGUGACGAAGCGUGAGUGGCGGUAAUGGGUAAAGAAGCACCGGCUAACUACGUG
Molecule: ribosomal RNA, 468 nt
Filed under: uncultured bacterium
Lineage: Bacteria
Description: partial 16S ribosomal RNA
Rfam family: Bacterial small subunit ribosomal RNA
Source: RNAcentral